This 68-nucleotide transfer RNA is filed under the name Melanotaenia boesemani (Boeseman's rainbowfish). RNAcentral's name for it is "tRNA-Phe". Lineage: Eukaryota; Metazoa; Chordata; Actinopteri; Atheriniformes; Melanotaeniidae. RNAcentral also lists the same sequence under 1 other name. The record is from RNAcentral.
GUUAGCGUAAUUUAACUAAAAUAUAACACUGAAGAUGUUAAAACGGGCCCUAGAACGCUCCGCAAACA